AGAACUGUUAACUCGAAGUAUGGAAUGAUAGGGUAACGCCUAGAAACAUACUCACUGAGCUGCGGCAAGCAAUACUCACGUUGUAAAUGGUAGAAGUUGUUUGAAGCCCGCUAAAGUCGGCUGAAGUUUACCCUAACACAGUAAGAUGGUGAGGAAAGACGAUUUUCGUUGUAAAUGAUAGGUCGGGUGUCUAUAA
Molecule: non-coding RNA, 196 nt
Filed under: Massilibacterium senegalense
Lineage: Bacteria; Bacillati; Bacillota; Bacilli; Caryophanales; Bacillaceae
Source: RNAcentral